RNAcentral lists this ribosomal RNA (253 nucleotides) under uncultured bacterium. RNAcentral describes it as "partial 16S ribosomal RNA". It matches the Rfam family "Bacterial small subunit ribosomal RNA", at positions 524 to 776 of the family's 1533-position model. The record is from RNAcentral.
UACGUAGGGUGCGAGCGUUAAUCGGAAUUACUGGGCGUAAAGCGUGCGCAGGCGGUUUUAUAAGCCAGAUGUGAAAUCCCCGGGCUUAACCUGGGAACUGCAUUUGGAACUGUAAGACUAGAGUACGGCAGAGGGGGGUAGAAUUCCACGUGUAGCAGUGAAAUGCGUAGAUAUGUGGAGGAAUACCGAUGGCGAAGGCAGCCCCCUGGGUCGAUACUGACGCUCAUGCACGAAAGCGUGGGGAGCAAACAGG